Parasteatoda tepidariorum (common house spider) is the source of this 1011-nucleotide non-coding RNA. Lineage: Eukaryota; Metazoa; Arthropoda; Arachnida; Araneae; Theridiidae. The record is from RefSeq and is a predicted model, not a curated record.
CUAAGUUUAAAUUACUUGAAAGGUAUUUAGGAAAUAUUUUGAAUACUAUUUAGUAUUUUCAUUAAUUAAAAGGAAAAUCAAACUAAUUUUAAUAUUUGUUCGUUUUUUUUUCAAAAUAAAAGAAAAAUGGAAUUUUUUGGCAUGUUGAUGCUGUGUUGGACUCUGCGGAACACCUUUUAGGAACGCUGCACUAAAUAUCGUCAUUUGGGAUCUUACUGCAACAUUAGAAUAUCAAGAAAUUGUCAUUUUUAAGCCUCUCUUUAAGUGAUACUACAUGGUGAAUAUUAUAGAAUUAGCAAACCGACAUACUUAAAAUUUGACAUUUCGUAUCUUAUAUAUAUAAGGAAAAAGAAAAAAAUAGUUUUUAAUCCAGCCAAUAAAGUGAAACAGGGAAAGAGAUUUUUAAUUGCAGUGAUGGCAAAAACUGACAAAUAAUUAACUAUGAAUAUAGCGUUUAAUAAGUGUGAAACUUCCAUAAGAUAUACUCGAUAUCAUGUGAAAGUCGAAAUGUCAAUAUGUCGUCCAGUUGAUAUGUUGUCCACCAUUUUCUACCAGAAAUUGAAACCGAUAAACGGUUUAAUAAGAUUACAUCUGAGUGACAUUAUGAAUGUGUCAUGCAAUGCUUGUCUUAAAGUCUGUAAUUCAGCUAACUUUUUUCAUUAAACUACUGAACCCUACUAUGAACUAUUUCUUGAACUGUUCUGACAACUGUUUCGACGAACUGUUCUAGAAUCCGUUGAAAAAAGGGUAUGUUUAUUCAAAUAAAAUACGCUUUUUGUUUCUGAUUUUGUAACUUAAAAUAUUGUCUGCAUUAAUUAAUUAGCAUAUUUGAGGUCACCCCCUCGAGCAAUUAAGAUUGAGUCCUAGAACGUGAAGAGCCAAUCAUUAGAUCAACAGUUAUUUCCGUUUUUUUUAAUUUUGCGCACUGAUUGUGCCUCUUGGCUAGGAGUUCGAGACGCUUGGAGUUCGAUUCAUGUAGUAGAUCACUUUAUUAAAAAUGUUUGAAAAUUU